This is a long non-coding RNA of Cavia porcellus (domestic guinea pig), 9492 nucleotides long. RefSeq lists it as uncharacterized. The transcript has 2 exons. The record is from RefSeq and is a predicted model, not a curated record. Lineage: Eukaryota; Metazoa; Chordata; Mammalia; Rodentia; Caviidae.
UUGAUACUAGGGCUUCAAUCCCAGGCCUUUGCACUAAGCUAGAUCCCCGAGUGACCCAGACCUGGCUCCAACUUGCAAUCUUCCUGCCUCAGCUUACCAGGUGCUGGGAAUUCAGAGUGCUAGUCCUAUACUUUUUUUUUUUUUCCAGGUACCAGGAAUUGAACUCAAGAACUUGUGCUUGCUAGGCAGGUGCUUGUACUACUGAGCUAUACCCCCAGGCCCUAGCCCAGUAUUCUUUUUUUUUUUUUUUUUUUUUUGCCCAGUACUCUUGAAAGUUCUUUCUCUCUCACUAGUCAAUCCUUUGUUACACUGCUCCCCUGUUUUACUUGGUAAAACUAUUGCAUGGUCCACACAUCUCCUGGUAGGACCCCAAAAGAUAAAGAAUUGCCAUCAGAAAAAAAAAAAAAAAGAAUUGCCAUCAGGAGGGCUUUCAGGUGGCGAGGGACACAUAACAGGUGGGACCUGGGAGAAAGUCUCUAGCUGUGGCUUUGCCCUUGAGUGCAGUGCUGGGUUCCUUGCUAAUAGGAAACAAGAUGCCCACGACUUGAGGCAAGAGGAGACUGCACAGUAGGUCAGGCUACAAGCCGGGUGUGGUGGCACACACCUCUGAUCCCAGCACGCAGGAGUCUGAGGCAGGAGGGUCACCAAGAGUUUGAGGCCAGCCUAGAAGUGAGAACUUGUCUCAAAAAAACCACAUGAUGAUGAUGGUGGUGAUGAAGAAGAAACUGAUAUCAAGUGCACUCAAAAACUUACAGAGAGAAAAGUUCAAAGCUUUAACUUUUCAGCUUACAUCAUCAUCUAAGAAUGAGAGAACUUUCUCAUUUCCUAAAAAAGGGCUGAUAUUUUGGGGGGCCGCUGAGUUACCAUGACAGCCAGAUACAUGCUCUCUCUGUUUUCUCACCUGAGGUGGAGGACAUCGAUAGGUAGACCCAGAAAGAAAUGAAGUGAGCACAGGAGGUGACUGAAGAAUACCAAGAAUAUUCAAAUUUUUAAAAUGUAUUACAGUAAAAGACACAUUGCUAUGAAUCCCCUCAAAAUGCUCCCUUCACUUCAGACACACAUAUCCCACUGUUCGUUAUUUCUUUUUGAGACAGUCUCACUAUGCAGUGCAAGCUGGCCUUGAGCUCACUUUUGUAGCCCAGGCUGACCUAUCUGCUCUACCCUCCUCCUGCUUCAGCUUCCCAGGUACUGACAUUAUAGGGCACCACCUUGCCUGGCCUCUUGUUCUUUUCUAAAGCAGUUCUGGAGUCCUCUUUCCUGAGUGUCUUUAUGAGAUGUGGGGAAAAAUACUGUGAAUGCUGCCGCCCAGCGCCAUCCAACAGAAAAGCUGGCUCAUAAAACCACGACGCUGUGUCCUCAUCCACCAUAAUCACCAGAUCUGGCACCGUGUGACUUCUGGCUUCUCCCCAAAGUCAAAAUGAUCAUGAGGAGGAAACAGUUUGAGUCAUGGGGGACAUCAGGAUCACCAGCGCAGUGCAACUAGGACCUUCAAGAAAGAUGAAUCCAGACUUGCUUCAGAAAGUGAUGGUGCACACCUGUAAUCCCAGCACUCGGGAGCCUGAGGCAGGAGGAUCGCAGCAAGUUCAAGACCACCGGGCUACAAAGUGAGCUCAAGGCCAGGCUGAACUACAUAGCAAGACCCUGUCUCAAAAAAGACAGAAAAAAAAAAAUGACAAGAGUGAUGGGCUAGUUCGGUGCCCGGUACCAAAAUAAAAAAGAACAGUGGGCUAAGUGUGACUGAAGCCAACGGGAAGAUUUGGAGGGUGACUCACUGUCAUGUGCUUUACUUUUUAUUUAUUUAUUUUUUGUCUCUUUCGUUUUUAUUGGUACCAGGGAUCAGACUCAUGAGUGCCUGCUUGCAAGGCAGGCACUUAUGCUGCUGAACUAAAUUCCCAGCCCCUCAUGUGCUUUACUUUGAUCAGGACUUAAACAUUUAAAUACCCUAUUUUAGAUGUGCAUACAUACAGUCAUUGUGAAAGAAAUCUCUGAAAGUUGGUAUUUCCCUCAGCCUUCUGCCAAAAGUGUGUGUGUCUGAGUAUGUCUGAGUGUGAGUGUCUGUGUGUGUGAUGCUGGCGAUCACAUCCAUGGCCUCCUCCUGCUGGGUGACCACGCAUCAACCUCCCUGGCCCUUCCAUGUGUGUCUCCACCUCUGUUCCAUCCAGGCUUUUGAAACCACCCUCAAGUGCUGGCACCAGCGAGGUACAAAGUGCGGAUCCUGGUGACAGUGCACAGAGGUGUCGGUCAGCAGGCCUUUGCCCUUUGGCCGCCUUCCAGCAGGGCCUGGGAGGGCUGCGUGUCAUCCCUGUCCACGUGGACCAGGAGCCCUGCCAUUUUCCAGGCAUGACCUGUGAUGGGCGAGGUCAGUGGCAUUUCUAGAGCAGAGACAUGGAGAGCAGCUCGGGCCCGGAAGGAAAUUCUGCAGGAACUUGGCUCUCAUGACCUGCUCCUGGCUUUGGCAGAGUUGACCGUGUGUGUGUGUGUGUGUGUGUGUGUGUGUGUGUGUGUGUGUGUGCACGCGCACGCCCAUGCGUGUGCAAAGGGCUGGGUCAGAGUGGCCGGAGGGAAGGGGGUGCAGGGCUGUGACCCUGCGCUUGUGUGGCCCUAGGGUCAAAGUAUCCAGCAGCCUUGGUUCUGGAACAUGAAUGUUUUAGUUUCUAUUUUGAUGAAUUAUCUGUAGAUUAUAUGAUUCUAGAUUAGAUGUUUCAGUGUAUGCAAAAAUGUAGAAAAAGUCUGACAUAUAAGAGGUGCCAAAUGAAUGUUAAUUCAAGUAGCUCAUUCUUUUUUUUUUUUUUUUUUUUUUUUUUGUCUUUUUCCUUUUUAGCGGUACUGGGGAUCGAACUCACGACUGCCUGGUUUACCAGGCAGGCACUUAUGCCGCUGAGCUAAAUCCCCAGCCCCAAGUAGCUUAUUCUUUUUCUUUUCUUUCUUUUGUGGGACCAGGGGUUGAACCCAGGCCUGCUGACUUACAUACCCAACCCAGUUUUACUUUCAUACUGAAACAUCUUGCUAAAUUGGCCAGGCUGGACUUGAAUCAGAGAUUCUUCUGCCUCAGCCUCCCCCAGUGCUGGGAUUAUAGGUGUGUUCCAUCAUGCCUGGUUCAGCGAGUUCUUAACUAUUUAAAAUGUUUUACAAGUAUUAUUAUGUAAAAAUAAUUUGUAAGUAUAAUAUAAAAAUCCAAGUCACAUAGAAAAAUGCAGCCAGGUAAUGGUGAUGGUGGCACUGACCUGUAACACAGCAAAAACAAACAACAACAAAAUCAAAGAAAGUAACACAUCAGGAAAUUUCCUACCACCAAGAGACAUUUUUUCCCAGUACUUGGGAUUGAACCCAGGUGUGCUCUAUCACUGAGUUACACCCCAACCCAUUUUAUUUUAUUUUACUUAUUUUAUUGUGAGACAUUGUCUUGCUAAAAUGGCCCAGGCUGCCCUAGAGCUUGAGAGUCUCCUGACUCAGCCUCCCAGGAGUCUGGCAGCCAUGCACCACUGUGUCCCUCCCCGUGAUUCUUCCUCACGGAGUUUCGGGUUCAGCUCAUGGCUGCUGUACUUCCUGAGUGGCUGUGUGUUCCUAAUGCUGCCUGCUGCUUCUGUCCUUGGAUGAAGUCUGAGACCUUCCUGAUCCCUUCCUCUUCCUGAGCCCUGCCUUUGAGCAGUGCCUUCAGCAACAUCUAGUGCUGCCCAUGGCUGUGGAAAAGCCAGGCUGGCUAAGGUCUUCCUGGUGUUUCCCUUAAUCUUGCAGGGCAGUAUCUGGGCCGACACAGGCUCAUGACCAGUCGCUCUACAGUAAUUUUUGCUGUAAUUUUUUUGGUUUUUUGAGACAGGGUCUCACUAUGUAGUUCAGGCCUUUAACUCACUAUGUGGUUCAGGCUGGCCUGGAACUCACAGCGAUCCUCCUGCCUCAGCCUCCUGAGUAUUGAGUUGACGGGCGUGCCCCAUCCAGCCUGGCACUCCAUAGCAGUUUUUGCAGAUCCUGGAUUUCUAUGUAGCUUUUCUGUUUAUUUUUUAGGUUCUCCAUCCUCUAGGUCACCGAUUGACAACCCCAGGGUUAUGCUAUGGUCUCUGCCUAAUUUAUAAUUACUAGAUCACUUUCAGUUGCUUUAAUCUACUUUUUUAAUUCUCUGCAUUCAUGAUGAUCACGUGAAUCAUGUCCUCCGUGAUCAUCAAUUGGAGGUAGCACCCUGUUGGUUCUUCCUGGACUUGUUGUUGUUGGUUUUUUGAGACAGGGUCUCGCUAUGUACUCCAGGCUGGCCUUAAACUCACUAGGUAGCCCCGCUGGCCUGGAACGCCCAGUGAUCCUCUUGCCUCAGCCUCCUGCAUGCUGGGAUGGCAGGCGUGUGGCAUCACACCCAGCUCUUCCUUGCCCCUCACUGAUUAAGGGGUGGUGUUUGGGGUCUGGAUCUGCAUUCUUGGAUUUUAUUGGCUUGUUUUGUUUCUUGGCAGAGCCGGGCAUGGAACCCAGGGUCCCGGCAUGCCAAGCACACAUCUACCACUGAGCUUCAGCACCAGCCCCCCUUCACUAAAGUUCGGAGACAAGAGCUUGCUGAGUUCCCAGGGUGGCCUUAGACUCGUGAUCCUCCUGCCUCAGCGUCCGGGGUGGCCGUGGUUAUAGGGGCCCUCACCACGUCCACCUUCUUGUGCUCUGUGGUGUCUCUUUUCAUCUCAUUCUGUUUCUUUCUCGUUUCUGCUGCCUUAUUCCUUAGUCACCUAGAGUAUGGGCGUUCUGUGGGGCAUUUUAUUCCAACUUGGGGAUACGUUUUCUUCCUCGGUAGCUGCUCCCCGCUUCCUCCUAGCUGGGCUGCCUGCCCUGCCGUGCACACAGUGUCUGCUUCCAGGUCGCUGCCUUUGCCCACACCCAGCCCUUGAAUUCAGCCUAAACCUCAUCUCACUGCUGGACAUUUCUACCUGCAUGGCUGAUAAGCCUCUCAAAGUUAAAAUGUCCUAUGUGAAACCCUUGGUUUUUAUCCUGUGACCUCCACUCAUCUCUUCCUGUGUGGUCUUUUCCCCUGUUGUCCAGCCUGGCUGCUGCAUGGCCCUCCUCCCCCAUCCCUCCCAUUUCUGGUCCUGCCGAGGGGUCUGGGAUUCUUCAGGUCUCUGCCCUCUCCUCCACUGCUGCGUGAUUCAUGGAUCACAGGACUCUGCUCCUUCUUGCACUGUUCUCCCUGCCCAAGUAACCAGUUCUUCCACCCAGGAGCCAGGUGUGGCUUUAAACCCUAGCUUCAAAUUCUUUGAUUGUUCAUGCAUCAACAGUGGAAUUGUUGCCAUAUGUGGUGCACGCCUGUAAUCCCAGCACUCAGGAGGCUGAGGCAGGAGGAUUGCGGUAAGUUGGAGGCCAGUCUGGGCUACAUAAUGGAUUCAAGGCCAGCCUAAACUACAAUAAAACUCUGUCUCAAAAAGAAUGUGGAAUUGUUCUGCACAGCAAAGGAAAUGACUCACAGAGCCAUAGACACUGUACACGAUGGGGAAAGGUUUUGCCAGCCACUCCUCCGACAGAAAACUUGCAUCUAUAAUGUAUAAAGAACUCAGAAUAAAUAGACCUCUCAGUGUGUAAGACCAGGUCAAAACAUGGGCAACAAUAAAUACAUGAAAAAAUGUUUGACCUCUCUGGCCCUUAGAUGCAAAUUAAACCAACACUGAGAAGGGGCUGGGGAUUUAGCUCAGCGGUAUAAGCGCCUGCCUUGCAAGCAGGCAGUCGUGAGUUCAAUCCCCAGUACUGAUAAAAAGAGAAAAAAAAGUGUAAAAAAAAAAAAAAAUCAACACUGAGAUUCCCUCUUAACCCAGAGAGAAUGGCCAUCGGCAAAAAUCAAAUAAUAACAAGUGCUGGCGAGGCUGCAGGGGAAAAAAAUGAACCUUCCCACGUGGCUGGCGGGGAAUGUAACCGGGUACAACCACUAUGGAAAUCAGGACCCAGGUUCUCAGCAAACUAGCACCAGGAAUUCCAUUCAGCCAGGUGUGGGAGGCCAGAUGGGCAGAUUAGGGCCUAAGUGGCCUCUUCCACAGCAGUAGGAAGGAGGCAGUGGGGUGCGUGGCACAGCUGCGUGCAGGCGGCGGUGGGAGACAGAGGCGUCCUGUGCUGCUCGGAUUGCCUGUGCCCGUGUCUCAGUGAAUACAGCCAGGAUGUGCCAGUCACUCAGGGCUCUUUGUCACGGGAGACAAGAGCCCCUGGCCCCUCACAUUUUAACCAAUUCGGUGUCUUUGUGUUUCAUUUUCAUCGAGCCUUGGUCCAGGUACAAGCCCAUGGGUUGGACCCCUACAACCAGCUCUUCCCCUUCUAGGUGUCUUCCCUAGAGUUAACGAUACCACAUGGCAGUGGCCAUGCACACCCUUGUUUAUAGAAGCACAGUUCCUAACAGCCAAAUCCUGGAGGCAGCCUACAUAUUGAUCAACGAUCAACAGGUGAAUGGAUAAAGAAAACAGGAUAUUUAUACACAAUGGAGUACUACUCUGCCAUAAAGAAGAAUAAACGAGUGGGGUGUUGGAACCCGGAAGUACCUUGAGACCACAAUGGUAAAUGAAAUCAAUCAGACACAGAAAUUUGCUAUUACAAACCCAAGGUAUGCAUAAUUUAAAGGGCACACUGAAGAUGAUAGGAAGCAAGGAGGAGACCCAGGAUUGGAGGGAGGGGAGGUGGGGCGGGGUUGUGGAGAUGCCAUGUACACCGGUCCCAGCCGCCCAGGGUGAAUGCCCAGUGUGAAUGUGUGGCCCCAGACACAGUGGCUUUCGCUUGCAUCCGGGCCUGGCCCCAGGCUGCCUGCGGGGGGUGGGGGGAAGCGCUGGCGCCACUGUGUCCUCUGUCGGGAUGCAGAGUCAGGUCUUGGAACUCACACUGGUGUCAGCCGGGCUCGCCGUCCUGGGCUGGGUUCCCGCAGAUCCUGCUGUCAUUCGGUGAGGAAGCCGCAGCGACAGACUCUGUGUAAGUAUCUCAGCGGUUUAGACCUGGUGUCCCCAAAGUCCCCUGAGUGUGGGGGUCAUGGAUCAGCUUGGCGCGGAUUCCUCCCUGGCGCACUGUGCUGUGAGGGGGCGGGGCCUGGCUGGAGGGGCCAGAAUUAACUGGGCGAGGCGGCUCGCCUGAUAUGUAAUUACAGCAUUCAGGAGGCAGAGGCAGGAGGAUCACCGAGAGUUGCAUGCCAACCCUGGCUACCUUGAUAUCUUGUCUAAAAAAAAAAAAAGGAAAAGAAAAAGAAAAAAAGUUGCAGUAAAAGAAAAUGUCGGUAUGCUUGUUCAAUUUUCCACUAGCAAACACCUAUGAGUACAGAGGAACUUUUAAAAAUUCACUUAUUUAAGUCCUUCUGCCCAGCUUGUACCAAACCAGCGCUAAGACCUUACCUGGCCGUCUUCAGGGCAGUUGGGGGUCUGGGAGGAAGGGUUUGAGAUUUGCCACUUUGUGGGAACAGCAGCUGGUGGUGAACGGUUCCCACUGGUCAGCCUGGCUCACCAGGUGCGAGAUUCCUCCUCCUACAGGUGGUGGUGGUGGGGGGGAGCCAUGAGCCCUGAACCCCUAAUGUAACCUUAGCCUGCGGACAUUUUUUUUAAUUUUAAAGAGAUUAAGACCAAACAGGACAUAACAAAGUAGAUCUCACAUUGAGAUAUUUAUAAAUAAGUAGGUGCAACUUGAGACCAUACUCAUAAGCAAGAUAAAUCAAACUCACAUGUAUAGAUACCGUAUAGUCUCCCUAGUGUAAGAAAUGGUAAGAGUACAUAAGAGUUUAUAGUAAUCAUGAUUCCCCAUUACAUUGUUCUGAAGCCUUAUGAUGUCUGCAUUCAUUAGGUGGAAUAGUUUUAUCCUAGUUUGAUUUUAUUACCUGUGAUAGUAUGAACAGCUAGUUUGAAGAAAACAAGUCAUUAUAAUAGCCAGUGCUGAUUUUUUUUUGCCAAUGCUGAUUUAAUAUCAUCUUACUCUGAAGUCCUACCAUGCUUUUGCUCUUGUUUCCAUUGGUUCUAUCAUAUUGUAUCUUAUUGGAUUUAUUAUGUGUGAUAGUAUAAGCAAAUUUUCUAUGGAAAAUGAGAUAAUAUAGUAGUCAUUGUUUGUUUUCUGUUAUUUGGUUCUGAAUGCCCUGUAAUACUUUCAUUCUCUUUAAUGGUUUUAUACUAUUUUGUUAUAUUUGGUACUAUUGUAUAUGAAGUUAUGCUCAACUAUUUCAAAGAAAGAGACAUUAUGGUAGUUACUGUUGAUUACGGGUUGUUUUCUGGUUGAAAUACUGUGUUGCUUACAUUGUUCUUAGAGGAGUGGCCAGAAAAGGCUGCUACUAGGAGGCAAUCUGAGCCUGGAAUCAAAGAUGGGGGAGUCCUCGUAGAGGGAGCAGCCAGCAUAUCAGGGAUUGGCCUGUUGUAGGAGAGAUGCAGAGAUCCUCCUGCCUCAGCUUCCCUGGUGCUGGGAUUUCAGUGCGCUUGCUCCUGAGGAACAGAAUUCACAAAGGUGACUGUGUUGUGCCAGUGAUGAACUUGCAAACACAUUGUCCGGUCACCUCUCAGGUCUCUCUGUCUUCUCCUUUUGCCUCCGAUGCAGCCAGCUGCUGGCUGGCAGAGGACUCAGAUCUCUUGGCGACAGUCAUCAAACAUGGAGCUUCAUCAGACACUGAAGAGGAGGUGAACCCUGACGAGCCACAUGGGGCCGUUCUGAGCUGGAGCCAGCACCGCCCCAGCCAGCGUCUUCACUGCAGGCUUGUGUGCGAGAAAGCCUGAAACAGAAGGCGGCCACCCCAGGCUCCUGGGAGCCUGGAUCCCUGCCUGAGAGAAGCUGUGACAUGGUAAAUACUGUUGCUUGCAGCCUCUCAAAGCCUUGAGGGUUUGAGGUGAUUUGCUAGCAGCAAUAAAUAACUGCAUCAUCCAAGAUUGCCAUGAAGUACCACCCUUAAUGUUGUUCUCAUUUUUCUUUUCUUUCUUCCCUUCUUUCUAUUUACUUAUUUAGUUUUGGUCUUUUUGAGUCAUGACCUCAUUAUGCAGUUCAAGCUGACCUUGAGCUCACUUUGCAGUCCAGGUUCAUUUUAAAUUUGCAGCAAUCUUCCUGCUUGAGCCUCCCAAGUGCUGGGAUUUCAAGCAUACACCACCAUAUCCAAGAUUUCUGUUUAUUUAUUUAGAGAUGAGUUCUCACUAUGUUGCCCAGGCUGGCCUUGAACUCCUAGGCUCAGCCUUCUGAGAACCUGUCAUUGUCAUCACAAGCCACCUCCUUGGACUGUUGACGCCAGCAGAACUUUUCACGAUCCAAUUUUUUUGAGACUGGGUCUCACUGUGUAGCCUAGGCAGCCUUGAAUUUGCAGCAGUGUUCUGGGCUCAGCCUCCCCAGUGCUGGGAUAACAGGUGUGUACCACCAUGCCUGGCUGAUCCAAACGUUUUGCUUACAGAUUUACUUUCACUGAAAUCUGCCAUCUAAGAGGCAGCCAUCCUAAAGUUUGCCUUCAAUUGUAAAAAUCAGUCACAUUCUUUGCUCCCCAAAAUUGUCAUUUACUUUUUCCAUCCUCAUGGGGGUUUAAUUUACUAUAUUAAAAUGUUGGUUAUUUUA